AAGAAGGUCCAUGCAGCUGAGCAGGGUAGUAAGAGUUUUAGGGGGUUAGUUAGCAUGUAGGCUCCUUGAGCUAUUAAGUAGGGAAUCUAGCAAAAGGGCUUUCCCUUUUUCACUCCCAAGUUUCCUGUGAGUUUUCUGUGUAGCACUGAUCCAGGAUUAGGAGUUCUUUCUGCCUCUGCUUUUAUUAUUCCAAAUCCUCCAUGGAGAGACUCCAGUCUGUUGCUGUACAGUCUUAUGAUCCUGAGAAACAGAGUGUUUCCUCUUUACUGGAAGGGCUGCUUAGCUGAAGCAACAAGAUGUCCACCCCAGCAGCUCCAUCUACAAGCACUGUCCUAUGCAGAUUUACAAACAAGUAAUUGCUAAUGAAGACCAACAGAAUAGCCUGGGGAAACAGCCACUGGGCAUCUUACUCCUCUUGCAUUUUGUUUCCUUCUGUGAAAGAGAGUUGGGAGACAGCCAUUGAGAUCUCACUUGUGGUGGUUCAUUGGUUCCUCUUCCAAGCUGGCUACAGCACGAAGCAGAUUCAGAUACUGACUUCCAUGGUGGUGGAGGAAAGCUAGUCCAGACAAGAGGU
This is a long non-coding RNA of Mauremys mutica (yellowpond turtle), 574 nucleotides long. RefSeq lists it as uncharacterized. The record is from RefSeq and is a predicted model, not a curated record. Lineage: Eukaryota; Metazoa; Chordata; Testudines; Geoemydidae. The transcript has 3 exons.